RNAcentral lists this small RNA (482 nucleotides) under Pan troglodytes (chimpanzee). RNAcentral's name for it is "retained intron". Lineage: Eukaryota; Metazoa; Chordata; Mammalia; Primates; Hominidae. The record is from RNAcentral.
UCACUCCAGCCACCCCACUCUGGAUCAUUGGAUGGGGCUUUACGAAGCAGAAUGGAGGGAAGAUGUCUGACAUACUGCUGCAGGCGUCAGUCCAGGUCAUUGACAGCACACGGUGCAAUGCAGACGAUGCGUACCAGGGGGAAGUCACCGAGAAGAUGAUGUGUGCAGGCAUCCCGGAAGGGGGUGUGGACACCUGCCAGGUGGGGCCUCCAAGAAUCAUGGGGAGUUCUAAGAAUAGGGUUUAGGUCCUAGAGAGAUGAGAAAACCCAGAGGCUGCAUGCCCCACAGGAAGCCUUGCAUAUCAUGGGCACUCAAUGUGUGAUGAUGGGAGGAAGAGAGGGAGGGAAGGAAAGGAUACAGUCAGAUAAAAGUGUACCAAUAGAUGAGUGGGUGGAUGGAUGGAUGCAGACAAGCAGAGAGAUUUCAAAUGUCUCUUUCACAUUCGAAGAUGAUGUUACUGGCUGGGCAUGGUGGCUCACGCU